CGGUAACAGAUCUAGCUUGCUGGAUGCUGACGAGCGGCGGACGGGUGAGUAAUGCAUAGGAAUCUGCCCGAUAGUGGGGGAUAACCUGGGGAAACCCAGGCUAAUACCGCAUACGUCCUACGGGAGAAAGGGGGCUCCGGCUCCCGCUAUGGGAUGAGCCUAUGUCGGAUUAGCUAGUUGGUGAGGUAACGGCUCACCAAGGCCACGAUCCGUAGCUGGUCUGAGAGGAUGAUCAGCCACAUCGGGACUGAGACACGGCCCGAACUCCUACGGGAGGCAGCAGUGGGGAAUAUUGGACAAUGGGGGAAACCCUGAUCCAGCCAUGCCGCGUGUGUGAAGAAGGCCCUCGGGUUGUAAAGCACUUUCAGCGAGGAAGAACGCCUAGCGGUUAAUACCCGCUAGGAAAGACAUCACUCGCAGAAGAAGCACCGGCUAACUCCGUGCCAGCAGCCGCGGUAAUACGGAGGGUGCAAGCGUUAAUCGGAAUUACUGGGCGUAAAGCGCGCGUAGGUGGCUUGAUAAGCCGGUUGUGAAAGCCCCGGGCUCAACCUGGGAACGGCAUCCGGAACUGUCAAGCUAGAGUGCAGGAGAGGAAGGUAGAAUUCCCGGUGUAGCGGUGAAAUGCGUAGAGAUCGGGAGGAAUACCAGUGGCGAAAGGCGGCCUUCUGGACUG
Molecule: ribosomal RNA, 673 nt
Filed under: Vreelandella aquamarina
Lineage: Bacteria; Pseudomonadati; Pseudomonadota; Gammaproteobacteria; Oceanospirillales; Halomonadaceae
Description: bacterial SSU rRNA
Rfam family: Bacterial small subunit ribosomal RNA
Source: RNAcentral